This 2160-nucleotide ribosomal RNA is filed under the name Triticum aestivum (bread wheat). RNAcentral describes it as "partial small subunit ribosomal RNA". Lineage: Eukaryota; Viridiplantae; Streptophyta; Magnoliopsida; Poales; Poaceae. The record is from RNAcentral.
AUGUGCACAGGGAACCGCCACACCGGGACGACGACGGACCCCAUGGACACGCGGCGGGACGUGAAGCCCUUCUUGGCCCCGGUCACCAGCCACAGCCAGCGAGGCGUCCCCGGGUUCGGCGUCUGCCAGGCGGCGCCGACGCCGCUGGGCCGCGGCGCGCGCGUCUCCGCGGCCCCGCAGCAGGCCGCCUGCGUCGUCAACCGGGCCGCCUCCCUCGAGCCGGAAGGCGGCUGCAGCCGCGACGGGAGGCUCGACGUCGAGGCGGCGGGCGCCCCGGCUCGCGGCCCCGCUCCUCCUCCUCUCCCCGCCGCGCGGGUCAGCAGGAAGUUCUGGAGCGCCGGCGACUACGACGCGGCCGGCGGGAGCCCCGCGCAACCGCCUCGAAAUGUGGGGAGCCGAAUGUGCGUCCACCCCAAGUUCCUCCACUCGAACGCGACCUCGCAUAAAUGGCCAUUUGGAGCCGUUGCAGAGUUGCUGGAUAACGCGGUCGACGAGAUCAAAACUGGUGCUACUAGAAUCGUGGUGGACAAAAUCGUUAACAAGCGAAACGGCUCGCCAGCUUUACUUGUUCAAGAUGAUGGCGGAGGCAUGGACCCAGAUUCCAUGAGGCGUUGCAUGAGCUUUGGAUUUUCCGACAAGCAAUCGGGUUCUUCAAUUGGACAAUAUGGCAACGGUUUCAAGACUAGCACAAUGCGGCUAGGGGCAGACGCUAUCGUCUUCAGUCGUUGCAUGAAGGGCAGUGGACCUACACAAUCGGUGGGUCUUCUCUCUUACACCUUCUUGGCGGAAACCGGUCAAAAGGAUGUCGUAGUUCCCAUGGUGGACUACAAGUACGAUUUAUUGACAGGGGACGCUAUACAGUAUGAGCGACAUGGUGCAGAUCAGUUCUGCUCAAAUCUGUCCGUGUUAUUAAAAUGGUCCCCUUUUGCAACAGAAGAAGAUCUGAUGGGCAAUUUCAGUGACAUUGGUCCACAUGGCACAAAGAUUAUAGUGUUCAAUUUGUGGUCUAAUGACGAUGGUGUUCUGGAGCUCGAUUUUGACACCAAGGAGGAAGAUAUUAUGAUUAGUGGUGCGCCAAAUCCAGCAGAAACAACUAAUGCUGUCAAAAGAACGAACGAAAACCAUCUGUCAAAUCAACUGCGCUAUUCUCUUAGGGUGUAUGCUUCUGUCUUAUAUUUGCAGCUGCCCGGGUACUUCAAGAUCAUACUUCGGGGACAAGAAGUUCAGCGCCACAGCAUUGCGACUGACCUCAUAUACCGUCAAGCUGUUUCUUAUACACCCCUAGAAUUCCUACGAAAAAAGGAGGGUGAGGUUGUUACAAGUAUCGGAUUCUUGAACGGUGCUCCAACAAUUAGUGUGCAUGGAUUUAAUAUCUACCAUAGGAAUCGCCUUAUAUUGCCUUUCCAUCGAGUGUUGAGUUCUGCAAGCAGUAAAGGUAGAGGCGUCGCUGGGGUGCUGGAGGCGAACUUUAUCAAGCCCACUCAUGACAAGCAAGACUUUGAGAAGUCGCAGCUGUAUCAGAAGCUGAUCAUUCGCUUGAAAGACAUGACAACUGAGUACUGGGAUUUACAUAGUCACCUGAUUGGAUACCAAAAGAAGCCCCGUGCAUCCGUUUCUCCCACCCCUCCUGGAAUGCUUACAGCAUCAGACACCAUUGCUGAACCGUCCGAGAGGAACGCAGUCGGUGCCGGUCUCUCAGUUGCCCCCUGGAGAGGCGGCACCCGCGAUCACCCCGCGAGUGCUAUUCCGAUUGCCUUUGCUCCUCCGCAUCUGUCGGUUCCUGCCGGAACCAGCGGGCACGCACCUUGCUCCAUGCCAGCUGCGCAGAUGGUGCCUGCCACUGAUUCAGCGGAGACAAGAAAAAGGAGAAACGAGGAUGAUGUCCAGAUGGAUCCGUGCAAGAGGCAGGCCAUACAGAGUUUGGAGGUCGAUAAUCAGAUUUGCCAACGCAUGACCGAACGGGAUCUGAAUGAGUUCGAGCACUUGAAGUUUGAGAAUCAGCAGCUCCAUGAAGAGUGCUUGGAGCUGGAGGUGGCUGAGAAGGAGCUUUUGCUCAAGGAGCAACAGUUAAGGCUCCAAAUUCAGCAGGCGGAGGCGCAAUACAAGAGUUUACUGAACGAGUACAUUUCCGCCACUCCUGUGAGGACGCAUAUGCGGUAG